This 90-nucleotide unclassified non-coding RNA is filed under the name Pseudomonas sp. B10. Lineage: Bacteria; Pseudomonadati; Pseudomonadota; Gammaproteobacteria; Pseudomonadales; Pseudomonadaceae. The record is from RNAcentral.
UGUGGGAGCUGGCUUGCCAGCGAUAGCGGUGGUUCAGUCACCAUCCAUGCUGGAUGAUAAACCGCCAUCGCUGGCAAGCCAGCUCCCACA